This 240-nucleotide unclassified non-coding RNA is filed under the name Rhizophagus sp. (in: glomeromycetes). RNAcentral's name for it is "partial contains 5.8S ribosomal RNA and internal transcribed spacer 2". The stretch from base 1 to 65 matches the Rfam family "5.8S ribosomal RNA", at positions 84 to 154 of the family's 154-position model. Lineage: Eukaryota; Fungi; Glomeromycota; Glomeromycetes; Glomerales; Glomeraceae. The record is from RNAcentral.
GUGAAUCAUCGAAUCUUUGAACGCAAAUUGCACUCUCUUCGGAGAGUAUGCCUGUUUGAGGGUCAGUAUUAAUAAAAAUCGGUGUGUUGCUUCUUUGUGACGCUCCGGAGUUUGGGUCAUUUUAAUAUCCUUUAGGUUUUAAGAGGCUUAAAAUUGACUUUUUUUGGCGCAUUUUAAAGUUACUAAAAUUUUUUUUUACUUCUUCGGUUUUAAUCUUCAUAAUCCUAUUAGAUGCGACCA